GCAUGAUCCUGCCUGGUGGUGGGUCGAGGCUUCAAACC
This 38-nucleotide transfer RNA is filed under the name Odontella aurita. RNAcentral describes it as "partial Selenocysteine transfer RNA". Lineage: Eukaryota; Bacillariophyta; Thalassiosirophyceae; Eupodiscales; Odontellaceae. The record is from RNAcentral.